This 327-nucleotide ribosomal RNA is filed under the name uncultured eukaryote. Its description in RNAcentral is "partial 18S ribosomal RNA". It matches the Rfam family "Eukaryotic small subunit ribosomal RNA", at positions 1470 to 1796 of the family's 1831-position model. The record is from RNAcentral.
CCCUUAGAUGUCCUGGGCCGCACGCGCGCUACACUGAUGCAUUCAACGAGUAUUUCCUUGACCGAGAGGCCUGGGCAAUCUUUUAAACCUGCAUCGUGAUAGGGAUAGAUUAUUGCAAUUAUUAAUCUUGAACGAGGAAUUCCUAGUAAACGCAAAUCAUCAAUUUGCAUUGAUUACGUCCCUGCCCUUUGUACACACCGCCCGUCGCUACUACCGAUUGGACGGUUUAGCGAGGCCCUCGGAUCGGUACCAGGAUUCUUAACCGAGUCACUGGCAACCGAGAAGGCGGUCGAACUUGACCGUCUAGAGGAAGUAAAAGUCGUAACA